AUUGAACGCUGGCGGCAGGCUUAACACAUGCAAGUCGAGCGGGGGGAUGGUGCUUGCACUAUUACUUAGCGGCGGACGGGUGAGUAAUGCUUAGGAAUCUGCCUAGUAGUGGGGGACAACGUCUGGAAAGGGAUGCUAAUACCGCAUACGUCCUACGGGAGAAAGCAGGGGAUCUUCGGACCUUGCGCUAAUAGAUGAGCCUAGGUCGGAUUAGCUAGUUGGGGGGGUAAAGGGCUACCCAGGCGACGAUCUGUAGCGGGUCUGAGAGGAUGAUCCGCCACACUGGGACUGAGAAACGGCCCAGACUCCUAAGGGAGGCAGCCGUGGGGAAUAUUGGGCAAAGGGGGGAAAGCUGAUCCAGCCAUGGCGGGGGUGUGAAGGAAGCCUUAUGGUUGUAAAACCCUUUUAGCGAGGAGGAGGCUACUUUAGUUAAUACCUGGGGAUAGUGGACGUUACCCGCAGAAUAAGCACCGGCUAACUCUGUGCCAGCAGCCGCCGUAA
This 501-nucleotide ribosomal RNA is filed under the name uncultured bacterium. RNAcentral describes it as "partial 16S ribosomal RNA". It matches the Rfam family "Bacterial small subunit ribosomal RNA", at positions 30 to 523 of the family's 1533-position model. The record is from RNAcentral.